This 147-nucleotide ribosomal RNA is filed under the name uncultured bacterium. Its description in RNAcentral is "partial 16S ribosomal RNA". It matches the Rfam family "Bacterial small subunit ribosomal RNA", at positions 356 to 496 of the family's 1533-position model. The record is from RNAcentral.
GGGGAAUAUUGGACAAUGGGNGCAAGCCUGAUCCAGCAAUNCCGCGUGUGUGAAGAAGGCCUGCGGGUUGUAAAGCACUUUCAAUUGUGAAGGAAAAGCUAAAGGGUUAAUACCUCUUAGCCUUGACGUAACUUAGAAGAGCACCGG